AGUGAGCGAAUCCCAAAAAGUGCGUCGUAGUCCGGAUUGGAGUCUGCAACUCGACUCCAUGAAGUCGGAAUCGCUAGUAAUCGUGGAUCAGAAUGCCACGGUGAAUACGUUCCCGGGCCUUGUACACACCGCCCGUCACACCAUGGGAGUGGGCUGCAAAAGAAGUAGGUAGUUUAACCUUCGGGGGGACGCUUACCACUUUGUGGUUCAUGACUGGGGUGAAGUCGUAACAAGGUAGCGCUAGGGGAACCUGGCGCUGGAUCACCUCCUUAAACGAUGAU
RNAcentral lists this ribosomal RNA (281 nucleotides) under Vibrio parahaemolyticus. Its description in RNAcentral is "partial 16S ribosomal RNA". It matches the Rfam family "Bacterial small subunit ribosomal RNA", at positions 1262 to 1533 of the family's 1533-position model. The record is from RNAcentral. Lineage: Bacteria; Pseudomonadati; Pseudomonadota; Gammaproteobacteria; Vibrionales; Vibrionaceae.